This 2557-nucleotide long non-coding RNA is filed under the name Capsicum annuum. RNAcentral describes it as "long non-coding RNA (CANN_LNC005701)". The stretch from base 400 to 559 matches the Rfam family "U1 spliceosomal RNA". Lineage: Eukaryota; Viridiplantae; Streptophyta; Magnoliopsida; Solanales; Solanaceae. The record is from RNAcentral.
CCCCUUCGGCUAGGUUUCCUUCGAAUAUUGAACCCCCUUAAUUGAAAUUUUGGCUUCGCCUCUAUCCAUGUUGCACUCUUUUUCAUACCCCAAACUUCAAAUUGGAUGUCGAGUCAUCGUACAAACCUAGUCAAACAAAGUUUUUCUCUUAGAGAAUACAGGACCAUCUCUUUUUUCAAUAAAUAAUAUUUCCCGUACUGUCCUUUUUUAAAUAAAAUCGUGUGAUCUUAAAUAUGUCAGGUUUUCUCAAGUAUUCAUAAUCGCCAAAAUGUAAGCAAUUCCAUCUACUACAACAAUUUCCCCACCACGUGGAUGAAUAGAAGACACUUGUCUAUCAAUUCCCAUGACUUACUUUUGUUUGCACAAAAUACUUCGAUUUCAUAAUAAAGUGCAAAAUACGUAUUUACCUGGACAGGGUUAAUGGAUAAUCAUUAAGACUCGUUGCCUAGGCUGGUGACCUCCAUUGCACUUUGGAAGGGUGUCCACCUAAGGUCAGACCAAGUGAUUGAGCCUAUAUCCUAAUUUGUGGCAGCAGAGUCGUACGUUUGCACACCCCUACCCAAAAAAAAAAAAAAAAGUGCAAAAUACUUCAAUUUCAUAAUAAAGUGAAAAACCUUUCUACCCUACUCUUACUAUCCCUCCAUCGGACUAUGAACUUUUCUUGAUCCUCUAGUGGGCGGGUUCCAUAAAACAACUUCAUCAUAAGGGAAAAUUAGAAGUAGUAUACCAUUGCAAGAACUAAAACACUGUACUCAACUGAACAUAAUCGAUUCUCGGAAUUACAUCAAAAAAGACAAACGAGAUCAUGCCGAAGUGGAGCAUCUACGUAGUAGUAGUAAUGAUCUUCCUUCUUGCAAGACAUCAAGAAUUUGUAGCUAUUUAUAUCACUUUUGCAUCCGUCGUGACGAAGAUGGAUGAAUUGACUAUCUUAUAUUAGAGAGUGUCAUGAUUUGCAAACAAAGGAAGUUUUAGUAGUUGUCACACCCUUUAAAGGGCUUUUAUUAUUAAGUGACAAAAGAUGAAAUUUAUUUCAAAAGGAUUUUUACAAUUAAAUUCAGAGUCGUCACUUGACAUAUCGAGUGUGUCAAAUCACCUUUUCGGAAAUCUUUUUUUAAAACGAUUUGACUCUAAAAGCUGAUCCGCGAACAGAGAUUUCAGUUAAGGAAUUCUAUUGACCGAGGGGAAGAUAUUAGGCAUCCCUCGAUCCCGUGGUUCGACCACAAUCGCUUUGUUGAAUAUAUCGUCUAGUACGACAUUAUGAAAUGUAUAAACCAACAAACACAUAAAUUUGAAAACAAACAACCAAAACAAAUCAAAACUUCAAACAUAGUAUCCAGUCCAAUUAUUACAGUCCAAAAUAAUUUUUUUAAAAAAAGGUACUGAAUGAACCUACACUAACCAUACUAAUCCUGAUCUAUGCUCUAUUCGAUGCUUCGGGCCUUGAUCACGAACAUUCUUCGCAUACAUGAUACUUCGAAAAAUUCUCCGAUAAAUGAAUACAACUUUCCUUGGAACAUUCCCGAUCAAAUAAGUACAAUUAAUUCAAAAUCGAUACAAACAAAAAUCAAUCAAAACAUUCAAACAUUCAAUAACCCACAACCCCUAAGUUAGCCUACCCACCCAACCUACAGUUUGCCUACACCUAAACAUGCUACUAUCGACUUUAAACAAAAUUAACGACUAUUCCAAUUUAAACAACAACAGUCAACGAGUCAAAACAAAUUCACAUUAGCUUUUAUCCAUAUUUCCAAUCCCGCCUCCCAAGUCAUCAAUUUUAACAAUGAAGCAUUCAAUUAUUCGAAUCUAAAUUCAUUUGACAGAAACAAACCAACUAACAAAAUCAGUCAACCAACCAUAGGUAAAUAAUCGAGCAUUGCAAUCAUGUAAAUUACAAAGAAAUAAAACGAAUAGAGAGUAGAAGAAAUGGACCUUCCGAAUCAAAUUCAUUGAUUAUUCUCAUGAAAGACCGGAGUAUCGCAGCCAUCGGAACCUCAAUCCAAAUCGAACCUCAACGUCGAGCUCAUCCGCUCUACAUGAAUUCUCCGGUGAUGGCAUUCGAAACUGAUUUUGAUCGCAGGAAAGAUUGUUUGGACCGGAAAUUGAGUUUUUUAAUGAAAGGGGAGAAAACGAACGGAGUUAUUCCGUCGAAAACUCACCGGAAUGGAUUUGCCUUCUACCGUUUCUCACUGUUUCCUACUGAUUUCUCCUUGUUUUCUCUGUUUAUUACCCCUCUCGAUCUCUCCCUCAAUCUUUCUCUCAAUUCCCCUCUUUUUUUUUUGCUCUCUCUCCCGAUUCUCUCUAAUUUUCCCACUCAAUUUUCUCUCUCUUUCCCCGAUUUUCAUUCUCUGCGUGUGUAAUUUCAAUCUCUUUCUCUUUUGCUUUUUUCCAGUCUGUGGAUGAAGUAUGGUGUGUAUUUUUGUCAAUGUCUGUGUAUGUAGCAUGUGUUUUGUUUAUAGUGAGGUGUGUGGAUGUGUGAGUGUGAGUGCGUGUGCAUAGGGUUGUUGGGAGUGGGUGGAUUAGGUGGGGGUAGGGGUAGAGUACGUGGGGUAGGAAGAGG